This 85-nucleotide ribosomal RNA is filed under the name Yersinia enterocolitica. Its description in RNAcentral is "partial 16S ribosomal RNA". It matches the Rfam family "Bacterial small subunit ribosomal RNA", at positions 1 to 85 of the family's 1533-position model. Lineage: Bacteria; Pseudomonadati; Pseudomonadota; Gammaproteobacteria; Enterobacterales; Yersiniaceae. RNAcentral also lists the same sequence under 1 other name. The record is from RNAcentral.
AAAUUGAAGAGUUUGAUCAUGGCUCAGAUUGAACGCUGGCGGCAGGCCUAACACAUGCAAGUCGAGCGGCAGCGGAAAGUAGCUU